Ciona savignyi (Pacific transparent sea squirt) is the source of this 83-nucleotide non-coding RNA. The record is from Rfam. NCBI's taxonomy places the organism in Eukaryota, Metazoa, Chordata, Ascidiacea, Phlebobranchia, Cionidae.
GGCAGGAUGGCCGAGUGGUCUAAGGCGCUGCGUUCAGGUCGCAGUCUCCCCUGGAGGCGCGGGUUCGAAUCCCGCUCCUGUCA